CGAUCCCGCCCCGCGGUCCCCCCCGGGGCAUGAACCGCCCCCCGGCGGGCCGAAACCGGCCAAACCGGCUAAACCGCCCCGAUCAUGCCCAUUUUUCGGCGUUCAAACCGCCGCACGGCUACCCCCCCAUCCCGAUGCCCUCGGACCCCUGGUCCCGUGGGACCUGACGGAAACGGAAUCGGAUGCUCGGAUCAUGAGAUACGCCCAAAACCGUCUAAACUUAUGAGCGCACCCUGAACAUGCCCAUUUUUGGGCGUUCAAACUGCCGCGCGGCUACCCCCCCAUCCCGAUGCCCCCGGAACCUGGUCCCGCGGGACCCGACGGAAACGGAAUCGGAGGCCCGGAUCAUGAGUUACGGCCCUUUCUUUGCGGCCCCCGAGGACGUGCGCUAUAGCCCCCCGGGCCACCCCCCAUCCGGCCGCACCAGCCCGAACUCCACCGAACGCGUCCGCCGCAUCCCGAUCCCGCCCUGCGGUCCCCCCCGGGGCAUGAACCGGCCCCCGGCGGGCCGAAACCGGCCAAACCGGCUAAACCGCCCCGAUCAUGCCCAUUUUUCGGCGUUCAAACCGCCGCACGGCUACCCCCCCAUCCCGAUGCCCCCGGACCCCUGGUCCCGUGGGACCUGACGGAAACGGAAUCGGAUGCUCGGAUCAUGAGAUACGCCCAAAACCGUCUAAACCUACUGAGCGCACCCCGAACAUGCCCAUUUUUCGGCGUUCAAACCGCCGCGCGGCUACCCCCCCAUCCCGAUGCCCCCGGAACCCUGGUCCCGCGGG
RNAcentral lists this long non-coding RNA (776 nucleotides) under Citrus x clementina. RNAcentral's name for it is "Citrus clementina (C. clementina) long non-coding RNA (CCLE_LNC001708)". The record is from RNAcentral. Lineage: Eukaryota; Viridiplantae; Streptophyta; Magnoliopsida; Sapindales; Rutaceae.